RNAcentral lists this small RNA (2516 nucleotides) under Pan troglodytes (chimpanzee). RNAcentral describes it as "retained intron". The record is from RNAcentral. Lineage: Eukaryota; Metazoa; Chordata; Mammalia; Primates; Hominidae.
CUGGCCCGACAGACUUUUUGGGUAAGUCUGGGUAAACCGUGGGGUGAUGAUACAUUUGCUUCUCCCAUCUCCAGAACUUCCCUUAAGAGUCAUCCAGCUCUUGCUCAGUGAAGAGGAAAAUGCCUCCAUGGCAGAUGUCAACGCCUCGGUCAGUGCUGCAGGCCGCGCUCUGGGUGGGAGGGGGCGCUUGGCGGGUUCAGGCCAGGGCGGAACCAUCGCUGUGUGGCCUUCAUCUUGUCAUCCAUCUGGAUUCAACUGCCAGAGGAGGCCGGAGCCUCUUGCCCCAUGGGAGGUGCAGGGCAUUGGGAAGUGAGGAAGGCCCAGGACAGAAACCUCGACUCAUCAUAAGCAGAGGCCAGGGUGCCAAGUCACCCCAGCCGAGACCUCUAAGCAUCUUGGUUAUGAUCUGAAAGAAACUAAAGGACAUUUCACCUCCCGGGAGUCUUCCCUGACUUCCCAGAGGGAACAGGCGGCUCCCUCUUCUUGGCUGCCAUGCCAUACCUCAGUCACAGGCAAAGUGGCACAACUGCCGAGUGGUUGGGGCUGUAGAAUCCUGCACACCCAGAAUCAGAAUCCCUGCUCUGCCCCUCACUAGAGCAGGUGUGCUAACUAGACACAUCAUAUAACAGGUCAUCUGUAAACACAGGGACAAUCAUAGCACCUGAGUCAACAGGCCGUAUCACCGUUUAAAUGAUAACGCGUGUCAAGCAUUUAGUCCAGUGCCUGACACACAAGUAUUCAAACAUGAUGACUGCUAUUAUCACUACUGCAAGCCUAGCACUCCCCACUCCACACUCCACAUGGUAAAAUCUGUUGACAUUUGUCACCUGCGCCAGACAAUGCACUCUUUGAGUUUAGACUCCACCUAAGUCACCUUGACACCCCCAGCCCCUGACCAUCUCCUAGGUCUAAACAACCCAUGUUCAAUAUACUGGGGAGGAGGUCAUGAGUCAUGUGUCAGAGGCAAGGUAGGGGCCAUUCAUGUCAGAUUCUCUGCUCGUCAUAUGAGGCCGAGGCGGGGACAGAAUGGAAAACCCUUCACUCUCAACAAACAUUAUUAAGCAAGGACCCGUGACACUCACUGAGCUAGGCUAGAGUGCAAGGGUGCAGAGACAGGUGAGGAAGGUGCUGGGGUCCUGGGGCUCCCGUUCCAGGAGGAAACAGGGAUGAAUACACCCAUCAAGGUGGGAGGGCGUCACCCCCUGGAUGGGGCCUCACCCCCACCCCCAUCCGCCAUCCUCUAACCUAGGUGGCAUACAGACUGGGGACCCUGGACAUGCGGGCCUUUCUCCGCAACAGCCAAGUGGAACGAAUCGAUUCCGCAGUACCGGCCUCGGGAAGCCCCAUCCAACACUGGAUGGUCAUCUCGGAGUUCCAGUACCGCCCUCGGGGCCCCGUCAUUGACUUCCUGAACAACCAGCUGCUGGUCGCGGUGGUGGAGGCGUUCUUAUACCACGUUCCACGGAGGAGUGAGGAGCCCAGGAACGACGUGGUCUUCCAGCCCAUCUCCAGGGAAGACGUGCGCGACGUGUCAGCCCGUGAGUCCGUCCAUUCCGGGGACACUAUGGGGGUCACUGCGGGGGGCGGGUAAACAGAGGUGCUUCAGCCCACACAAACAAGCUAAUUGAGUUUUUCUGUUUGUUUGGUUUUGAGCGAAAACGUGAACAUUUUGUCCAGCUGCUUUUUAGAUUCAAGAGCAGGAGCAGCCAGCGCUGCUGAGGCAGUCACACGUAUACAGCUUCACGGAGCAAGCACCCAGCCAGGGCCUUGCUGACUGUGGCUGCUAAUAAAACAGCAGCAAUUUAGUUUCAUAAAAUUGCUAAUAGUUUUCUUAAAAUGCCAUUGCACUUAAGCAUACACAGGGACACCCCCAUCGUCUCUGCCCUCCAGCGGGAGGAUAUGAAGCUGGAGACUGGAGACUGGCUGGGGACAGAGGCAACUACUCCCUGAAAUGGUGUCACCCUGUGCAAGCACCUUCCCCAGGCCAGGCCAGGCCUCAACACCCAGGCCUCAACACCCCCCAGCACCUUCCCCAGGCCAGGCCAGGCCUCAACACCCCCAAGCACCUUCCCCAGGCCAGGCCUCAGCACCCCCAUCUGAAAAUGAGAUGGGAUUUCUGAGCCCCCUUUCAGUGCUGACAGCCCCCGGUUCUCCCGGAACAGGAAUAAGUUGGCAAGCUUGUCAGAGAAACAAAGGAAUAACACGUCCUAUUUUCUGUAUAGGGCAGAGAACAGGGCAGGGGCUGCCCCAAACACAACAGAAACUGCUGUUUUACUUGGGUCUGGGACCAAGCAAGAGCUUCUCCCAGAAUCCAGGCUAAGCCCGCUCUCUCCCGGAGCAGGGGGUGAAAUCCCUCAGAACUACUGUAUGUUGGGGAGUUGGGGUAGGAGGCACAGGGAGGCAAGCCCUGACUAUGCAAUUAAGGAAAACCUACAAUUUUUAUUAUACAAGCAUCGUACAUUUAUUGCAGAAACUUUAGGAAACACAAACUUAACAAAAAGAAAAGAGGAAAAAAA